UGAUUUUUAUACUGGUUUGGCCAAUAAUGCCUACAUCUAGUGUCCUUCCAACCUAGGAAGCAAAUGCACUAUAAUGGUUGCGGUUUUUACAACAAGGAAUUUAUAGAAGCACCACGCAAAAAUAUAAAUCUUCUCUCUAAACCAAAACCAAAUAUAGUUGCACACACAAUCAGAAUUGCAGCAAGAAUCCCCUCUUUUGCAAUCUGCACCCACGUCGAACAAUCCUCAACGUGUCACCAACACUCUUCACAAGAUGUCAAGCCUAUCACAACAGACUUCACAGGUUGCCAAGCCUUCAAUCAAACGUAGCAGUCUUCACAGGAUGCCAAGCCUUCAAUCAAACGUAGCAGUCUUCACAGGAUGCCAAGCCUUCAAUCNAACGUAGCAGUCUUCACAGGAUGCCAAGCCUUCAANAUCAAACAGAAGCACCUUCUUUGUGCAAAUAUUCAUCAAAUAGUGUGAGCAAUUGACUCCUCCCUUUGAAUUUCUCUCAAGCAAGAUCACCACCGUCUUCUUAGAGAAUUCUUGGAGCUUAUAAAGAAUUCAAUCUGAAACAGGAAAAUGAAAAUGUCAGAUCACAAAAGUCAUAGAACAAUUAGCAUCCUGUCUAUUUAUAGUUUUCUGUUAUAUCAUAUUGCUUCUCAGUCAAAUAGCC
Molecule: long non-coding RNA, 655 nt
Filed under: Vigna radiata
Lineage: Eukaryota; Viridiplantae; Streptophyta; Magnoliopsida; Fabales; Fabaceae
Description: long non-coding RNA (VRAD_LNC012588)
Source: RNAcentral